CCGUGCAGGGGCCUGUGCCCGCGGGGAAAGGGGUGCUGCUGGCCAGUGCUGCGGGGGUUAACCCGACCGGUGCCCCCCCGUAGGUUAGCGCCCAGCUAGCCCACCCCUUAGUCCGGCCCUGACUGCAGCGUCCGCCUUGGUAAAUAACGAGUCUGCCAGGCGGGUUUUCAGAGGGAAGAGCCCCGGCUUUUGUCCCCUGCCCUCUGCAUGCAAAGCCUCUGGCCUGGGCUUUCCCUGGCUGGCUGCCCCAGCUGAGGGUGGGUUCACACGUGGUGCUGCUUUCACUGGGCCUGGAGCCUGUCCACUUUGGUCUGACUGAUGGCAAAGGUCCACCCAGCCCGGUGUGUGGUCUGCAGACAGGGGCAGUGCCAGGUGCCCUAGAGGGAGUGAACAGAACAGGGAAUCACCAAGUGAUCCCUCCCCAUCACACAUUCCCAGCCCCUGACAGACAGAGGCCAGGGACCCCUCCCUGCCCAGCCUGGCUAAUACGCACUGAUGGACCUGCCCUCCAUGAACGUAUCUAGUACCUCAUGAGGAUGCAGGCUGACUGGCCACCACCUUCCCACAACUCCCCAGUGCCCUGUCCCAUACGUGCAGAGUCGUACAGCAGCCCAAAGAGCCCCGGGCUACGCCCCACUCACGCUACGGCCCACAGGGGAGCGCCGUGUCUUGGGCAGGGCUUUGCAGGGCAGCUGCUCACAGCCAGGCUAGACUGACCCACUGCUCAGAUCUGGGUGCUAACGGGCAAACUCUGGGAAAACUCAUCUGCUGAACUCUGAGGGCAGCCAGCAGCUGGCUCCUGAUACCAUCUGGGAUUCAGCCCCCCCGGAAUGGGAGGGACCAUGUGAACUGAACUCACUGUAAGAACAGCCACACUGACCUCACUGAGUCAUCCCCACUCGAUGGCAGCCAGGCUGGCCCCUGCGAUUUCCCAGCCUCACUGGCUGUUCCUUACUCAGGGAUAAUUCUCCAUAACCCCGGGGCACACUCUGCCCAGGGUGGACUCCAGUGCCCAGACUGCAAGUGGCCCAUGAAAUUUGGCAUAAUGCCUAACCCUCCUUGCAGGAGGAGUACCGGUCGUUUGAAUUAGGAGCUUUAAUUCACACUACCUAGUCCUGCCUCGUGUAGCCGUGGGCAGGUAGUUCGAACUACGGGGCAUUUUAAAAUGGUGGCGCCCGGGAACAUGCAAAUGAAGCCCGGGAUAUUUAAAUCCUGGGCUUCAUUUGCAAGUUUGAAUGCUGACAUUAGCCACCCUAGUUCGAACGAGGGUGGCAGUGUAGACAGACCCUGAGCUACUUCUAUGGCUGGGGCAAGGGAGUAAGGGCACGUCUAUGCUUACCAGAAGAUAGACGCUCCGGAGGCAGAUCUUCUGGCAUUUGAUUGGCGGGAGUAGUAUGGACUCCUAAAUUGAAUGCUGAGGGCAGCUCCUGCUGGCAUCCAGUACUCCUCCUUUUGCAAGGGAGUAAGGGAAGCUGAAGGGAGCGUUUGCUCCCAUCUGCCUCCCACGCUGUGUACGCGACCAAGGCUUGGCUUAAGGUAAGCCAACCCCAGCUACAUAUUUUGCAUAGCUGGAGUUGCGCACCUUAAGUCAACCUUCUUGGUCUAGUGUAGACUUGGCCUAAGUGACUCCUGGGACCAGAGCUAUCCUUACCCUGCUAUUGCGCUGUUCUCUGGGCAUUCUCUCUCUCUGAUUUCCAUUUCUCAUCUUCUGUGGUUAUGUCAGAGCUGGGUUUACCGUGUCCUUGUAAAGCAAUGAGUGUAGAAAGGGAGUGGCAGUUUGUGUGGCUUUUGGAGACAACAGGGCCAUUUUAAACAGUUGUUUUCUGGGCUUGUGAACACCUCUUCACCUGGACUGUUUCUGGCCGUUUGUGCCCUCAUUUCCAGAGAUGCCAAGAAGCAGCAGUUACGAACUCCAACUCGUAAUUUCAUAAACUCCAUGGAAACAGGGACUAUUGGGAUCUUCUAGUGUGUCCUCCUGUAAAGCACAGAUCAGAGACCUGCCCUAACACAAUUCCUAGAGCAGAGUUUUGAGAAAAACAACCAGUCUUGGCUGAAAAAUGGUCAGUGAUGAAAAAUCCACCUGGACUCCUGAUAAGUAAGUUGAUCCAAGUUCAGCUGUGGGGACUCAGCCCUCCUAGAAAUCAAGCCCUUGAUGCCUACCAUCCUGGUCUGAUUGUAUUCCCAAAACGGAACUAGGACAACCAUGAGGCUCCAUAUGGAAUAUUUUUACUUGAAAGGCCAUUCCCUCAGGGACAACGAUAUGGUACAAGGACAGCCUCCUCUGCAAUGCAGGCUCCGGAGCAGCCCCCACUUGGUGCUAUGGCAGUAAUAGCCCUGAACUGGCAGGUAAAUCCCUACCUCUCUUAACCCACUUCUGCUGCAGCACCUGAACGGUGAUCACAGUCCAUCAUUUCUGCCCGCCAGGGGCUGCAGCAAGGAACACUAGACAUUGACUAACCAAAUUAAAUUCAGUGCCUGCUAAAUCAA
Molecule: non-coding RNA, 2487 nt
Organism: Pelodiscus sinensis (Chinese soft-shelled turtle)
Lineage: Eukaryota; Metazoa; Chordata; Testudines; Trionychidae
Source: RefSeq, a predicted model, not a curated record